Molecule: long non-coding RNA, 1275 nt
Organism: Trichomycterus rosablanca
Lineage: Eukaryota; Metazoa; Chordata; Actinopteri; Siluriformes; Trichomycteridae
Exons: 5
Source: RefSeq, a predicted model, not a curated record
UCCUCAGGCUUGUAAUUUCAGCUUUUUCACCACCUCUCAAGACUGCAGGACUGUAAGAGACAAAAAUGCAUUCAGCUUUCUACUGAAGAUCACCACCAACAUUUCUACUCUAUUUCGGUGCAGCACAGAACUGCAGCUUCUGAUUCACUAAUACUUUAAACUGUCACUGGAUUCUACCUGGAGUAUCAGACUCAAGUUUUCAGUCUUCUGAUUGAUUCUGAGUUCUGAAAGUUUGGAGCUGUUCAGGACUGGAGUCUGAUACUUCUGGCUUAUACAGUACACAAGACAGUGUGAAAAAACAGGACUGGAAAACUUAACUUUCCUAGGGAUCGACCGGUGGCCGAGCUGAGAUUCGAACUCCGAGCUGGUGUGCUAGUGGACAAUUCCGACCAAAAAAAAGGACAUUCCAGCCAAUACAAGAUGGUUCCUAACCCUGUUAUACACACACCACAGCAGAAGAUUGUCUGAGAAUACAAUCAUUCAAGACUAGUCAGCCUGAUUAUCUUGCAGUGUGAGCCAUGCAUUUCUAACAUGCAGCCCCGCAGAAGGGGAGAGUGCAAACAGAAGUGAAGAGCCCCAUGGAAAAGAGAGGAGAAGCCGAAACACAGCAGAAUGUUAGUCGCAGGAGAAGGAAGGUGAAGGCAGCUCAGGCAGGUUGUCUCAUUUCACACAUACACACCCUCUGGAUGGAGCUUGGACAGAAGCGGGUUCUGAAGGCUGCGAGGGUUUGCAAGGAUCUGCUUGGCAGUAGUACGAGGAUUAAACUCCAACACUGAGUGAUAUGAGUCUGUGAUAAAGGACUCAGGAGCUUCAUGUAUUAGAAGAGCCUUGGCCGGAUAGCGGAGUUUGCAUAGUCAAAUGAAGCUCCGUGACACACACAGGAGUGGAGAUAAAAAAAGACAGCGGGGGGGCAUCUGCUACAGCUGACACGAGGGCAUUGGAGAAAGAUGACCCAUCUGUGCAGCCAACCAUCACAAAGCGAUGAUGGUGCCAGCACGGAACAUGUUUGUAUCUAGUUUUACUUCUGAUAGAGAUUCAGAACAUGAGGGAAGUAAAUUAUACAACUAUGCAAAUGAUCAUUUCCUUUUAAACAGUUGUAACAUGACGUUAUUUUGGUACUUUGUUGGUACUUGUUUUGUUAAAAGGCUCAAGUGCAAAAAUACUGCUGAAAAAUCAGUCAGUACAUGAAUUAUAUUCUAAAUCCACUUAAAUAUGUGUCUAGAAAAAUGAUAAUUAUAUAGGCUACAGGCAAACAUUUGUCUAACAUCAAACAUG